CUGGUUGAUCCUGCCAGUAGUCAUAUGCUUGUCUCAAAGAUUAAGCCAUGCAUGUCUAAGUAUAAACUGCUUUAUACUGUGAAACUGCGAAUGGCUCAUUAAAUCAGUUAUAGUUUAUUUGAUGGUACUUACUUACUCGGAUACCCGUAGUAAUUCUAGAGCUAAUACGUGCGUACAUCCCGACUUCUGGAAGGGACGUAUUUAUUAGAUAAAAGGCCGACCGGGCUUGCCCGACUCGCGGUGACUCAUGAUAACUUCACGAAUCGCAUGGCCUUGCGCCGGCGAUGUUUCAUUCAAAUUUCUGCCCUAUCAACUUUUGAUGGUAGGAUAGAGGCCUACCAUGGUGGUAACGGGUGACGGAGAAUUAGGGUUCGAUUCCGGAGAGGGAGCCUGAGAAACGGCUACCACAUCCAAGGAAGGCAGCAGGCGCGCAAAUUACCCAAUCCUGAUACAGGGAGGUAGUGACAAUAAAUAACAAUACCGGGCCUUUGGUCUGGUAAUUGGAAUGAGUACAACCUAAACACCUUAACGAGGAUCAAUUGGAGGGCAAGUCUGGU
Molecule: ribosomal RNA, 557 nt
Filed under: uncultured eukaryote
Lineage: Eukaryota
Also listed under: 1 other name
Description: SSU rRNA
Rfam family: Eukaryotic small subunit ribosomal RNA
Source: RNAcentral